RNAcentral lists this ribosomal RNA (698 nucleotides) under uncultured Candidatus Saccharibacteria bacterium. RNAcentral describes it as "bacterial SSU rRNA". It matches the Rfam family "Bacterial small subunit ribosomal RNA", at positions 777 to 1500 of the family's 1533-position model. Lineage: Bacteria; Candidatus Saccharimonadota. The record is from RNAcentral.
AUUAGAUACCCGGGUAGUCCACGCCGUAAACUAUGGAUGCUAGCUGUUAUUCGUAUCGACCCGAGAUAGUAGCGAAGCUAACGCGUUAAGCAUCCCGCCUGUGGAGUACGGUCGCAAGACUAAAACAUAAAGGAAUUGACGGGGACCCGCACAAGCGGUGGAGCGUGUUGUUUAAUUCGAUGGUAAGCGAAGAACCUUACCCAGACUUGACAUCCUUGGAAGCACUGCGAAAGCAGAGUGUGCCUCCGGGAACCAAGUGACAGGUGUUGCAUGGCCGUCGUCAGCUCGUGUCGUGAGAUGUUUGGUUAAGUCCAUCAACGAGCGCAACCCUUGUGGCUAGUUGAAUUUUUCUAGUCAGACUGCCCUGGUAACAGGGAGGAAGGAGGGGAUGAUGUCAGGUCAGUAUUACCCUUACGUCUGGGGCUACAAACACGCUACAAUGGCCGGUACAAAGGGCUGCCAAGUCGCGAGACGGAGCAAAUCCCAUCAAAACCGGUCCCAGUUCGGAUUGCAGGCUGAAACUCGCCUGCAUGAAGUCGGAAUCGCUAGUAACGGUAGGUCAGCACACUACCGUGAAUACGUUCCCGGGUCUUGUACACACCGCCCGUCAAACCAUGAAAGUCGCCAAUACCUGACGUCUUAGCUAGUCUAGGCCUAAGGUAGGGGAGAUGAUUGGGGUUAAGUCGUAACAAGGUAAC